CUUGACCAUUAACAUAGACAGUAACCACACAAAACUGUUCGCCAGAGAAUUACAAGUUAAAACUAGAAACUCUAAGGACUUGGCGGUGUCCCAUAUCAACCUAGAGGAGCCUGUCCUACAAUCGAUACCCCCCGAUCUACCUGACCACUUUUUGAAGUUCAGCCUAUAUACCGCCGUCGUCAGCCUACCUUAUGAAAGGAAAAAAGUAAGCAAAAAAGUUAUUAACUAAAACGUCAGGUCAAGGUGUAGCACAUAAAGUGGAAGAGAUGGGCUACACUCUCUUUAAAAGAGAAUACUAACAGCACAAUGAAACAAUGCCCUAAGGCGGAUUUAGCAGUAAGCUGAGUAAGAAUACUCACCUAAAAUUAGCCCUGGGACGCGCACACACCGCC
This 392-nucleotide ribosomal RNA is filed under the name Panaspis togoensis. RNAcentral's name for it is "partial 12S ribosomal RNA". It matches the Rfam family "Bacterial small subunit ribosomal RNA", at positions 831 to 1394 of the family's 1533-position model. The record is from RNAcentral. Lineage: Eukaryota; Metazoa; Chordata; Lepidosauria; Squamata; Scincidae.